Molecule: ribosomal RNA, 329 nt
Filed under: uncultured eukaryote
Lineage: Eukaryota
Description: partial 18S ribosomal RNA
Rfam family: Eukaryotic small subunit ribosomal RNA
Source: RNAcentral
CCCUUAGAUGUUCUGGGCCGCACGCGCGCUACACUGACGAUGGCAACGAGUUUUUCCUUCGCCGAAAGGUGUGGGUAAUCUUUUGAAACAUCGUCGUGCUGGGGAUAGAUCAUUGCAAUUUUUGAUCUUGAACGAGGAAUUCCUAGUAAGCGCGAGUCAUCAGCUCGCGUUGAUUACGUCCCUGCCCUUUGUACACACCGCCCGUCGCUACUACCGAUUGAAUGGUUUAGUGAGGACUCCUGAUUGGCGCCGCCGCCCCGGCAACGGAGCAGCGGACUGCCGAAAAGUUGUUCAAACUUGAUCAUUUGGAGGAAGUAAAAGUCGUAACA